RNAcentral lists this ribosomal RNA (489 nucleotides) under uncultured bacterium. Its description in RNAcentral is "bacterial SSU rRNA". It matches the Rfam family "Bacterial small subunit ribosomal RNA", at positions 30 to 512 of the family's 1533-position model. The record is from RNAcentral.
AUUGAACGCUGGCGGCAUGCCUUACGCAUGCAAGUCGAACGGCAGCACGGGAGCAAUCCUGGUGGCGAGUGGCGAACGGGUGAGUAAUAUAUCGGAACGUGCCCAGUCGUGGGGGAUAACGUAGCGAAAGCUACGCUAAUACCGCAUACGAUCUACGGAUGAAAGCGGGGGAUCGCAAGACCUCGCGCGAUUGGAGCGGCCGAUAUCAGAUUAGCUAGUUGGUGGGGUAAAAGCUCACCAAGGCGACGAUCUGUAGCUGGUCUGAGAGGACGACCAGCCACACUGGAACUGAGACACGGUCCAGACUCCUACGGGAGGCAGCAGUGGGGAAUUUUGGACAAUGGGCGCAAGCCUGAUCCAGCAAUGCCGCGUGCAGGAUGAAGGCCUUCGGGUUGUAAACUGCUUUUGUACGGAACGAAACGGUGAGCUCUAAUAAAGCUUGCUAAUGACGGUACCGUAAGAAUAAGCACCGGCUAACUACGUACCACG